AUGCUGAGAUAUUCUCACUCACUGAAAGUGACUGUUGGUAACUGCAUGUGGACCCGCCAGGUGGCAGGCCCCACGUAUCAGCCACCAAAGUCAGGGCGCGCAGUACACUCGUCACAGAAUGUGCGCCCCAUCCAACUGAACCUUUUUAUGCAACGGGGAAACCAACGCGGCCGAGCAAGGAGACAGUGGCGCCACCCGCCGCUUUCCCAGUCCUCUCCUCCUCCCCUCCGCCCCGCUCCAAAAACCACCGCGCCGCGCCGCGCUUCGCCGCCGUCAGCGGCCAUGGACGUCGCCCCCGGCGAGGAGCCCCCAGCGGCGCCCUCUGGCAUAUAUUACCACAGAAAAAGGAAGCCUUCUGACCCCAUCAGUGGCCUUUCACUUCCUAGUGCAAAGAUGGUUGGCAAUUGGGGAUUUGGCAGUGUUACCAAGGACUGGGAAAGUAUGCAUGCUCGAAAGCUCGAAUUUAUGAAUUUCCUUUCUACUCUGCGUAAGCCCACUCAGAGUUAUGUGGCGAGUGCUGAAGCUAAUAUGAUUAAUAGCUCUGUCGAGCACACAGAACAGAAAAACAGUGAAGUGCUAAUAAUUCUUGAUUCGGACAAUGAAGAUGAAAGCAUGGCAGCAUACAAACAACUGACACCUGAGAAGAACAAACAGCUCUCAUCUGAGAAAAACAAGCAGCUGAUACCAUCAGAACAGGCUGGUACUCUCACAGCAUGUGUGGCAACCCAAGGAAUUGCCGACGUAAAUGACCAAAACAGUCAUAUUGUUCCAUAUGGUCAAAGUGCAACUUUAAUGAAUCAGUAUCAUUUACCCCACUAUCAACCAUCAGUUCAGUUUGAGAGAGUUGUAUUGCAGAAAAGACCUGAGGAGGAACGUAUGCAUGAUCUGGCUGUUGCAAGCUAUGCGGAGAAAAUGGCAGAAACACUUGUUUUCCCUGCUCCUAAGGAGAGAAAACAACGGAAAUAUGACCCAAGUUCCCAGACAGACGGAGAUGCUGAAGCUGGGCCAAGAAAAAGAAAAAGAAAAGGCAAAGAUGAAGCGAGUGCACCAGUAUUUGAUUUGCCCUCAGAAACUUACAAUCCUGCAGAGGAAGAUGAGCCUAUGGAGGAAGAGGAUAAACCAGAAAAUGAAAGUGAUGGUCUCGAUGGUUUCUGGAAUGAGUACUCACUGGCUCUGGAAAGCUCUAAGCUUGACACACCUGAAGAGGCAGACAGUGAGAAAGAAGUGGGUGAAAAGGAGGUGGACAAUGGCUGCAGUCAUGACAUACGGAUUCAUGAAGACCUGGGCCAUGUAUGCCGCGUCUGUGGUAUGAUUGUGAGAAGGGCUGACAUGAUAUUUGAUUAUCAAUGGAAAAAGCCAUCAAGGUCAAGAUCAUAUUUCAGUGAAACACGCUCAAAGGAUUCUGAUGACAUUGUCAUUGGUGAUGUUAGAGUCACUGAAGAACUCAUGGCUUUAGACGUUGCCAUUCAUCCAAGACAUGCAAAGCAAAUGAGAGCACAUCAAUUGGCAGGUUUCCACUUUCUGGUGAAGAAUCUAGUCUCUGAAAAACCAGGAGGUUGCAUUCUAGCUCAUGCCCCUGGUUCGGGGAAAACAUUUAUGCUGAUUAGUUUCAUUCAGAGCUUCUUGGCAAAGUACCCCUCUUCAAGGCCCCUUGUUAUACUUCCUAAAGGCAUAUUAGGUACAUGGAAGAGGGAGUUUCAACGGUGGCAAGUGGAGGAUAUACCACUGUAUGACUUUUAUUCUGUCAAGGCUGAGAAGAGAGCAGAGCAGUUGGAAAUCCUCAAAUCUUGGCAAGCCAAACUGAGCAUCCUAUUUCUUGGAUACAAGCAGUUUUCUCAGAUCGUUUGCAGUGAUGGUGGUGGCAACGUCGCAGCUGCGUGCCGGGACAUGUUGCUUAAGGUCCCUAGCCUACUUAUAAUGGAUGAGGGCCAUACACCUAGGAAUCGGGAGACUGAUGUGCUAGAAUCAUUGAGCAGAGUCCUAACUCCACGUAAGGUGGUCCUAUCUGGUACACUUUUCCAGAAUCAUGUCAGUGAAGUGUUCAACAUCUUGAACCUUGUGCGCCCAAAGUUUCUCAAGUCGGACUCAUCUCGUCCUAUUGUUAAACGUAUAAUGAGUCAAGUAGCAAUAUCAGGUGGCAGAAUUUCAAAAGGGGCUGCUGAUAAUGCAUUCACUGAGUCAAUAGAAGAGACCCUGCUGCAUGAUGAUAACUUCACGAGAAAAGCACAUGUCAUUAGAAGUCUCAGAGAACUAACAAAAGAUGUGCUUCAUUACUACAAGGGUGACAUCUUAGAUGAACUACCUGGCCUAUUAGACUUCAGCGUCUUCUUGAAACUCAGUCCCAAGCAGAAAGAAAUCGUUCAUAAGUUGGAAUCCUAUGAGAAGUUCAAACGAAGCGCCGUAGGAACUGCAGUGUACAUGCAUCCUUGUCUGUCAGGAAUGUCAGAAGUUGACGCUGCAGAUAGGGCUAUCAACCUGACAGAUGCAAGCAUUGAUAGUUUGGUCGAGUCUAUCAACGUGACAGAUGGUGUGAAGGCCAGGUUUUUCACUAACAUCCUGGCGCUUGCGAAUUCUGCAGGAGAGAAGGUGCUUGCUUUUGGUCAGUACAUACUACCCAUGAAAUUUUUGGAGAGGCUAUUGGUGAAGACAAGGGGCUGGAAUGUAGGGAAGGAGAUCUUUGUGAUCAAUGGCGAUACUAGUCAAGAAGAGAGAGAACUGGCCAUGGACCAGUUUAACAACUCUGCUGAUGCAAAAGUUCUGUUUGGCUCUAUCAGGGCGUGCGGGGAGGGCAUCUCCCUCGUGGGCGCAUCAAGAGUUGUCAUUCUAGAUGUUCACUUGAACCCCUCUGUUACUCGUCAAGCAAUCGGGCGGGCUUUCAGGCCUGGGCAGCAGAAGAAAGUGUUCGUGUACAGGCUCGUGGCCGCCGACUCUCAAGAGGAAAGCUUCCAUCAAACCGCAUUCAAGAAAGAAGUCAUACCGAAGCUGUGGUUUGAAUGGAGUGAGCAGCACUGCACGUCGGACGACUUCCGGCUGAACAAAGUCGAUAUCGAUGACUGUGAAGACGAGCUGCUGGACAACAAAGCGAUGCGGCAGGAUAUCAAGGUCUUGUACAAAAGGUGA
This 3120-nucleotide ribosomal RNA is filed under the name Triticum aestivum (bread wheat). RNAcentral describes it as "partial small subunit ribosomal RNA". Lineage: Eukaryota; Viridiplantae; Streptophyta; Magnoliopsida; Poales; Poaceae. The record is from RNAcentral.